ACCCAAUGGGUCACACACAAGAAAACUUAUCAAGGGUCUAAUUAGAUUAGAUCAUGUUUGCAAGAUAAACAUCCUAGCAGGUGUUGCAAACCUUAGCUCCUAAUUCGAAUUGGAUUCGAAUCUGAUUCGAAUUGGAUUCGAAUCUGAUUCGAAUUUGAUUCGAAUCUGAUUCUUAAUUGAUCUAAUUUGAUUAGAUCAUAUUCUAAUAUGGGUUAGCCAAGAGUUGGUACCUAAUUGGCUUGGUUUGAGUCUAAUUGGAUUAGAUUUAAUAAAUCAUUCAAUCUAGACCGUUAGAUCUUGAUC
This 303-nucleotide long non-coding RNA is filed under the name Phoenix dactylifera (date palm). RNAcentral describes it as "long non-coding RNA (PDAC_LNC010614)". Lineage: Eukaryota; Viridiplantae; Streptophyta; Magnoliopsida; Arecales; Arecaceae. The record is from RNAcentral.